UGGCGGACGGGUGAGUAACGCGUAAGAACCUGCCCUUGGAGGGGGACAACAGCUGGAAACGGUUGCUAAUACCCCAUAGGCUGAGGAGCGAAAGGAGGAAUCCGCCUAAGGAGGGGCUUGCGUCUGACUAGCUAGUUGGUGAGGCAAUGGCUUACCAAGGCGGCGAUCAGUAGCUGGUCUGGGAGGAUGAUCAGCCACACUGGGACUGAGACACGGCCCAG
Molecule: ribosomal RNA, 221 nt
Filed under: uncultured bacterium
Lineage: Bacteria
Description: partial 16S ribosomal RNA
Rfam family: Bacterial small subunit ribosomal RNA
Source: RNAcentral